GGAAACGGACGCUAAUACCGCAUACGUCCUACGGGAGAAAGCAGGGGACCUUCGGGCCUUGCGCUAUCAGAUGAGCCUAGGUCGGAUUAGCUAGUUGGUGAGGUAAUGGCUCACCAAGGCGACGAUCCGUAACUGGUCUGAGAGGAUGAUCAGUCACACUGGAACUGAGACACGGUCCAGACUCCUACGGGAGGCAGCAGUGGGGAAUAUUGGACAAUGGGCGAAAGCCUGAUCCAGCCAUGCCGCGUGUGUGAAGAAGGUCUUCGGAUUGUAAAGCACUUUAANUUGGGAGGAAGGGCAGUUACCUAAUACGUAUCUGUUUUGACGUUACCGACAGAAUAAGCACCGGCUAACUCUGUGCCAGCAGCCGCGGUAAUACAGAGGGUGCAAGCGUUAAUCGGAAUUACUGGGCGUAAAGCGCGCGUAGGUGGUUUGUUAAGUUGGAUGUGAAAUCCCCGGGCUCAACCUGGGAACUGCAUUCAAAACUGACAAGCUAGAGUAUGGUAGAGGGUGGUGGAAUUUCCUGUGUAGCGGUGAAAUGCGUAGAUAUANGAAGGAACACCAGUGGCGAAGGCGACCACCUGGACUGAUACUGACACUGAGGUGCGAAAGCGUGGGGAGCAAACAGGAUUANAUACCCUGGUAGUCCACGCCGUA
This 657-nucleotide ribosomal RNA is filed under the name Pseudomonas sp. L05. Its description in RNAcentral is "bacterial SSU rRNA". It matches the Rfam family "Bacterial small subunit ribosomal RNA", at positions 152 to 804 of the family's 1533-position model. Lineage: Bacteria; Pseudomonadati; Pseudomonadota; Gammaproteobacteria; Pseudomonadales; Pseudomonadaceae. The record is from RNAcentral.